RNAcentral lists this long non-coding RNA (826 nucleotides) under Olea europaea subsp. europaea. The record is from RNAcentral. Lineage: Eukaryota; Viridiplantae; Streptophyta; Magnoliopsida; Lamiales; Oleaceae.
CACGAAUCACACAUUUUUUAAAUCACAUUAUUUAUUCAUCACAAUUAUCUAAUAAUGAGUCACAAUCACUCUUUCAUUCGACCCAUUCUGUCCCCACCACCACUCCCACCAUUGUCGGCAUCACCGAAACACAUCGAUGCCACCUCACAGCACCACCGCUCCCAACCAUCGCCAUUGUGUCCAAACGCAACACACACACACACGGUGACACACCCCAUCUUACACAGAUCUACACGUGCGCCGCACAUCGUAACCCACCACCACUACUAUCUAAAGAGGCAAUGUCCAAAAUAGCAACCCAUACAAGCAGCGGCCCAAAACAGCAACCUAAAUAGAUAGCGCCCAAACACCAUCACACCGCAACCUAAACAGGCGAAACAUAAACAUCAACAAGCAGUGUUGAAACACAACAUCGUACCACCAAAACCACCAGACGCUACCCAUCGCAGAUUCACACCACCAUACAGGUUCGCGCCAUUACCACCACACCACAGCCCAACAUCUCACUACAACCACGUGCAAAUCUAAACACCAUACCACCGAGUCUGCGCCAUCACAAAUAUCGAUCCAUACUAAGGAGCCCUCGCCGGCAGCUCUACCACCCGGUGAACCAUCACAACGAGCUCAAAUAUCGAUCCAUACCGAAGAGCCCUCGUUGGCUAAUCUACCACUGGAUGAGCGGGUAAGCCGCUGGGUGACUUCCAAUUGCGAGGGCACAAUGGGUUUGUAGAGAGAGAGAGAGACUGAAGAGAGGGGAUCGAGAGACAGAGAGAGAGAGAGCUAAGUUUUUAAAUAAAUAAGUUUUAAACCUGAUUUUUGAAAUUGG